GAGUUUGAUCCUGGCUCAAGAUGAACGCUGGCGGCGUGCCUAACACAUGCAAGUCGAGCGAAGCACUUAAAAUGGAUUCUUCGGAUGAAGCUUUAUGUGACUGAGCGGCGGACGGGUGAGUAACGCGUGGGCAACCUGCCUUACACAGGGGGAUAACAGUUAGAAAUGACUGCUAAUACCGCAUAAGACCACAGGACUGCAUGGUCAGGUGGUAAAAACUCCGGUGGUGUAAGAUGGGCCCGCGUCUGAUUAGGUAGUUGGCGGGGUAACGGCCCACCAAGCCGACGAUCAGUAGCCGACCUGAGAGGGUGACCGGCCACAUUGGGACUGAGACACGGCCCAGACUCCUACGGGAGGCAGCAGUGGGGAAUAUUGCACAAUGGGGGAAACCCUGAUGCAGCGACGCCGCGUGAGCGAUGAAGUAUUUCGGUAUGUAAAGCUCUAUCAGCAGGGAAGAAAAUGACGGUACCUGACUAAGAAGCCCCGGCUAACUACGUGCCAGCAGCCGCGGUAAUACGUAGGGGGCAAGCGUUAUCCGGAUUUACUGGGU
RNAcentral lists this ribosomal RNA (550 nucleotides) under uncultured bacterium. RNAcentral's name for it is "bacterial SSU rRNA". It matches the Rfam family "Bacterial small subunit ribosomal RNA", at positions 9 to 559 of the family's 1533-position model. The record is from RNAcentral.